Molecule: ribosomal RNA, 503 nt
Filed under: uncultured bacterium
Lineage: Bacteria
Description: partial 16S ribosomal RNA
Rfam family: Bacterial small subunit ribosomal RNA
Source: RNAcentral
AUUGAACGCUGGCGGCAGGCUUAACACAUGCAAGUCGAGCGGGGUGAUGGUGCUUGCACUAUCACUUAGCGGCGGACGGGUGAGUAAUGCUUAGGAAUCUGCCUAUUAGUGGGGGACAACAUCUCGAAAGGGAUGCUAAUACCGCAUACGUCCUACGGGAGAAAGCAGGGGAUCACUUGUGACCUUGCGCUAAUAGAUGAGCCUAAGUCGGAUUAGCUAGUUGGUGGGGUAAAGGCCUACCAAGGCGACGAUCUGUAGCGGGUCUGAGAGGAUGAUCCGCCACACUGGGAAUGAGACACGGCCCAGACUCCUGCGGGAGACAGCAGUGGGGAAUAUUGGACAAUGGGGGGAACCCUGAUCCAGCCAUGCCGCGUGUGUGAAGAAGGCCUUAUGGUUGUAAAGCACUUUAAGCGAGGAGGAGGCUCUUUUGGUUAAUACCCAAGAUGAGUGGACGUUACUCGCAGAAUAAGCACCGGCUAACUCUGUGCCAGCAGCCGCCGUAA